AAACGGAGGGUGCAAGCGUUAUUCGGAAUCACUGGGCGUAAAGGACGCGUAGGCGGGUUGGCAAGUCAGAUGUGAAAUCCUACAGCUUAACUGUAGAACUGCAUUUGAAACUGCUAACCUAGAGUAUGGGAGGGGGAGAUGGAAUUAGUGGUGUAGGGGUAAAAUCCGUAGAUAUCACUAGGAAUACCGAAAGCGAAGGCGAUCUCCUGGAACAUAACUGACGCUAAGGCGUGGAAGCGUGGGGAGCAAACAGGAUUAGAAACCCUAGUAGUCC
RNAcentral lists this ribosomal RNA (274 nucleotides) under uncultured bacterium. RNAcentral describes it as "partial 16S ribosomal RNA". It matches the Rfam family "Bacterial small subunit ribosomal RNA", at positions 523 to 796 of the family's 1533-position model. The record is from RNAcentral.